UAAGAUGUAGCAGCCACAGACAUUCACUUACAGAAAACAAGAUCUCCCCCCCCCCGAGAGAGAGAGAGAGAGAGAGAGAGAGAGAGAGAGAGAGAGAAAGCAGUGGCAGAAGAGCUUCAGCAAAGUGAUGAGUGCUCGACCCAACCUUCCUCAUAAAGGAGGACGACUUUUUCUGGAUGCUUCUUUCAUAUCCAAGUAGAACAUCAAAGAACACGUCCCUAUAAUAUGUUCUUCCGGCAGUGGGUACUACAGUAGCUGUGUUCAUCAUCUCUGCUAUCAGACUGCACUAGUUUCACAGUGAUUCAGACGUCAGACGUAUCAUGAACACAAACCCUACUGAGCAAACUCUUGCACCCAAUUUCAGUAAUUACACUGUUGAGGAAGA
Molecule: long non-coding RNA, 385 nt
Organism: Colossoma macropomum (tambaqui)
Lineage: Eukaryota; Metazoa; Chordata; Actinopteri; Characiformes; Serrasalmidae
Exons: 4
Source: RefSeq, a predicted model, not a curated record